This 253-nucleotide ribosomal RNA is filed under the name uncultured bacterium. RNAcentral's name for it is "partial 16S ribosomal RNA". It matches the Rfam family "Bacterial small subunit ribosomal RNA", at positions 524 to 776 of the family's 1533-position model. The record is from RNAcentral.
UACGAAGGGGGCUAGCGUUGCUCGGAAUGACUGGGCGUAAAGGGCGCGUAGGCGGUUUGUCCCGUCAGGUGUGAAAUUCCCGGGCUCAACCUGGGGGCUGCACUUGAUACGUAUGGACUGGAGUGGGGAAGAGGGUCGUGGAAUUCCCAGUGUAGAGGUGAAAUUCGUAGAUAUUGGGAAGAACACCGGUGGCGAAGGCGGCGACCUGGUCCUUGACUGACGCUGAGGCGCGAAAGCGUGGGGAGCAAACAGG